GAUGAACGCUGGCGGCGUGCCUAAUACAUGCAAGUCGAGCGAACAGACGAGGAGCUUGCUCCUCUGACGUUAGCGGCGGACGGGUGAGUAACACGUGGAUAACCUACCUAUAAGACUGGGAUAACUUCGGGAAACCGGAGCUAAUACCGGAUAAUAUAUUGAACCGCAUGGUUCAAUAGUGAAAGACGGUUUUGCUGUCACUUAUAGAUGGAUCCGCGCCGCAUUAGCUAGUUGGUAAGGUAACGGCUUACCAAGGCAACGAUGCGUAGCCGACCUGAGAGGGUGAUCGGCCACACUGGAACUGAGACACGGUCCAGACUCCUACGGGAGGCAGCAGUAGGGAAUCUUCCGCAAUGGGCGAAAGCCUGACGGAGCAACGCCGCGUGAGGGAUGAAGGUCUUCGGAUCGUAAAACUCUGUUAUUAGGAAAGAACAAAUGUGUAAGUAACUAUGCACGUCUUGACGGUACCUAAUCAGAAAGCCACGGCUAACUACGUG
This 497-nucleotide ribosomal RNA is filed under the name uncultured bacterium. Its description in RNAcentral is "partial 16S ribosomal RNA". It matches the Rfam family "Bacterial small subunit ribosomal RNA", at positions 28 to 507 of the family's 1533-position model. The record is from RNAcentral.